GCCGGCUCCAAAUGACGUCACAUAAGCAAGAUGGCAGCUCCAAGGAAAGGAGAUAUUUUGGCCUCACUUUUGCACAGCUAGGUGAAGAGGUAGGCAUGGAUCUCAUCCUCAGCAGGAAUGUUGUCCACAUUGCUGACUCUGACCUUCUGGGCGACAGGGAUGCAUCUGGGCAUCAGCUUUUUUCCACUCUGAAAGAGAAAUGACUGGAGUUUUUUAGCCUCGCCCAUGUAUUUGUUUUUUGUAGUUCCAUCACAAAACACUCUUCUCUUCACGCUGCCUGCAACAUGAAGAGAGAGGGUUUUUCAUACAGUAACAAGCUCUUUGGCUUUCUUCAGGGAUGCUGUCAAGGCUCUGCAGCAGCAAAGACAUAUGGUUCUCAAUACUGGCCAGCUUUUCUAAUGUGCUGAGGUUGGUCACCCUGUCAUCCACGCAGCAGCGAUGCACCUCGGCCACCUUCUCCCCAAGAGCAUCCAACAUUACGUCCUGCAAGCAAGAGGAGGAGAUGAGAGGGGAGGAGAAAAUAAGAGCCAGAUCUCUGCAGCUCAGAUCUACUAAAGCCACCUUACAUGAUUUCUGAGUGUUGUUACUACACAGAUCUUGCAU
Thunnus maccoyii (southern bluefin tuna) is the source of this 603-nucleotide long non-coding RNA. RefSeq lists it as uncharacterized. Lineage: Eukaryota; Metazoa; Chordata; Actinopteri; Scombriformes; Scombridae. The transcript is spliced from 4 exons. The record is from RefSeq and is a predicted model, not a curated record.